UCCGAGUUGACCCCGGCAGUCUCCCGUGAGUCCCCGCCAUAACGCGCUGGCAACAUGGAACGAGGGUUGCGCUCGUUGCGGGACUUAACCCAACAUCUCACGACACGAGCUGACGACAGCCAUGCACCACCUGCACACCAACCACAAGGGAACACCCAUCUCUGGAUGCGUCUGGUGCAUGUCAAGGCCAGGUAAGGUUCUUCGCGUUGCAUCGAAUUAAGCCACAUACUCCACCGCUUGUGCAGGCCCCCGUCAAUUCCUUUGAGUUUUAAUCUUGCGACCGUACUCCCCAGGCGGAAUGCUUAAAGCGUUAGCUGCGCCACUGACGAGCAAGCUCGCCAACGGCUGGCAUUCAUCGUUUACGGCGUGGACUAC
Molecule: unclassified non-coding RNA, 375 nt
Filed under: uncultured bacterium
Lineage: Bacteria
Description: contains 16S-23S intergenic spacer region
Source: RNAcentral